AAAGCGCAACUAUGUAACCCACUCAUGCCCUUACAUGAUAAAAAAAACAUCUAAAUUGUAAAGCAAAGUAAAGAUAUUGAACAUAGUAGUGUUUUGAUCACUUGUUUAUUUCGCUUGCAAUGUUGCGUAACCACGUGCAUUCCUUCACCCUAUCUCUUUGUAACAAUUCACAUUAUAAGAAUGUCCCGGAUUAAAAGUUCAAUUGUUGGAGCAACACCCACGAAAAAAAUUGUGAAAUUACUCUAUCAAAAGGUUUUGCACGCAUAAGAUGUACAAUAAAUUUAGUCUACACUAAGAUAACUUUUACCUACUUUUUUUUGUAAAUUUUAUGUAGUUUUUUGUACUUUUAAUAUGUUUUAAAUAGCUUUUAUAUUAAGAAUAAAAAAAUGAUAGAUAAACAUUUUAAAAGAUAAAAUGGUUAAUUUUAUUAGUAAGUUUAAGAAAUAAUUUUUAUUAAAAUGAAAAAUCGAUCACUAAAAAAGAGAUAAGUUAAAUUUGGUAUAUAUAUAAGAGUAACUUUUAAGAAUUUCGAGUUAAUCUUUAUCCAGUGUACUUGUAAAUAAGGAUUUGCGUGUACUUAAUAUUUUUGACACGCAAAUAAAACGUCAUUAAUUAAUUACUCAGAAAAUUCCAAAUUUCUGGCAAAUGUAUUUACUUAGAACAAUGACCCACUUCAUUCCCACGUCAGAAAGCGCAUGCGGCCACAAAGUAGUGAAUCAAACCAUUCUCUCUCUUUCUCUCCCCAACUCAGAACUCAGAUGACUGGAGAAGAAGAAAACCCCUUCUUCUUCCUCCAGUUUUCUCAAAAAAAAAUUAAAAAUUAACAAAUGGUAAACCACAUAAUAACAACAACAAUUCAAGCCAAAUCACAGCCAAAGUGACAGUCCCACCAUAAAUGAAAGCAAUUCCAGGUUCAGUCAGAGGGAUAGUAGAAGCCUCUUGUUUACAACCGAUUGACGUCAUCAAAACCCAAUUACAACUUGAUCUGGCGGAAAAUUACAAAGGGAUUCUUCAUUGUGGUAAAUAUGUGCCCACAUAAAUGGUGUCGUCAUAGAAUUCUGGUGGUGACACAAGAUUAGCGGUCGAUUAGCAACAUUCCCAAGCUGAAACCCCACAUCCGAAAUUCAAAACAAAGUCGGAUCCUUUUCUUCAUCAUUCAUCGUCUACCCAAUUGUACUUUUAUACCCAUUGGUGGUCCCUAUCACAUUUUCUCCUCACAUGUAAGGAGAAAAUGUGAGAGAGUUCACGGUGCACCCGUGUGCAUGUAUAUUGUUCUAUAAUUACUAACCGUCAAUGUUUCUCCUCUUACCCCGAGCUUAUUUUUUGUUUUUGAGGCUUAAUCUAGGAAAAUAAUAAUUGUAUAUUUAUAAAUGAAGUAAUCAUUCCCUUUUUUUGCAUUCAAUUUUAUUCAAUUUGUUAUUUAUUGUAAAAUACACAUAUAUGUUUAUAUAGAAAAUAUCUCUAUUAUAUAAGCCAGCUCCUGAGGGCUUUUUAGUAAAUUAACUUUUCGUGUCCCCCAAUAAAUUUACAAUAACACCCUUCCCUGUUUAACGUGUAUACCAGACCCUUCAAGUUUCUAACGCCCAAAACGUGAUUAAUGGCCCUAACCUUCCUUCCUUCCUUCCUCCCGUUUUCUCUCUCCUCCCUCGUGGAUCUUCUUCCUCUAAUCGUCUUCCACCAAACCCCAUUUUCCAUUCUAAACCCUAAAUAUUUCGUGUCUCUCUCACCGCAAACGAAGACUCUCUCUCAUCCGCCUCUCGCCGUCGCCAUCACCACCAGCAUCUGAUCUUCUGGAGAUCCGGUUCUUUCGAUUUCAAUUUUUUAAGAUUUGGGGAAGAAAUGGAGUUCCAUAUCACGCUCUUUCUCUCUCAGCUCCAUUGAUUGAAGAUCGAUUUCAAAUUUGUAAGAUUUGGGGUUUAAUCUUGCAAAGAAUUGUCCAGUCUCAAAGAUUUGGAAAAUGGUUGCUUGAAUUGAUUGGAAAUAAUGCCAUAAUUGUCAUGGAUGAUGCUGACACUAAGCUGGUUCGUUCUGUUGUCUUUGCGGCUGUUGGUGUACAGCUGGUCAGCGCUGUACAACCUGUCGUAGGCUGCUGCUUCAUGAAAGCGUAUAUGUGAAGGUGAUUGAGCAAUUGCUUGAUGUCUACGAACAACUGAAGAUAGGGGAAGAAGGGAAUUGAGGCGAUAUGAUCGUCAACUUCGUCAGGUCAUGGGUCGUUCAACACAAGCUUCGUGUCGUCGCGACCGAGCUCGAGUAUUCCGGCAAUAAUUUGAAAUGGCAAGCAGAAGGAUCUCUUCUUUCUUAUCUCGCUUACUUUCAACUUAUCUCACCUCUCCUGUUGGUCGAAGUUGAAGGAUGAUUCUAUUAUAUUUUUUGAGAGAAUAUCAUGUUAGGAAUUGAAAAAAGUUGAGGCGAUUAGCUUCGAGAAGAGCAGUGAUACGACUCCCUGUCAACUCAUCGCUUGAUGUAAUGGUUUUUGUUGUUGCUCAAUACCGUGAGAUGAAUGCUAACAGCAGCAAGAACACUGCAAAGAAGAUAUAUUCUUUUGCAGGAGACUGGGCUGGUCUAAAUUUAGAUACUUUACUUUUUGAUAUAUGUUGUUGGACUGGCACAAUAUUACCAUAAUGUUGUUGGACUUCUUUUAUAUGUUGUUGGACUUCUUUUAAAUUUUGGACUUCUAUUAUAUGUUGUUGGACUUCUUUUAUUUUUUGUUCCAAUAUCAUAAUGUUAGAAUGAAAGAAAUUGCUUGAUA
Long non-coding RNA from Spinacia oleracea (spinach), 2749 nucleotides. RefSeq lists it as uncharacterized. The transcript is spliced from 9 exons. The record is from RefSeq and is a predicted model, not a curated record. Lineage: Eukaryota; Viridiplantae; Streptophyta; Magnoliopsida; Caryophyllales; Amaranthaceae.